UACGUAGGGUGCGAGCGUUAAUCGGAAUUACUGGGCGUAAAGCGUGCGCAGGCGGUUCUUUAAGACAGAUGUGAAAUCCCCGGGCUUAACCUGGGAAUUGCAUUUGUGACUGUAGAGCUAGAGUACGGCAGAGGGGGAUGGAAUUCCGCGUGUAGCAGUGAAAUGCGUAGAUAUGCGGAGGAACACCGAUGGCGAAGGCAAUCCCCUGGGCCUGUACUGACGCUCAUGCACGAAAGCGUGGGGAGCAAACAGG
RNAcentral lists this ribosomal RNA (253 nucleotides) under uncultured bacterium. RNAcentral's name for it is "partial 16S ribosomal RNA". It matches the Rfam family "Bacterial small subunit ribosomal RNA", at positions 524 to 776 of the family's 1533-position model. The record is from RNAcentral.